Molecule: long non-coding RNA, 774 nt
Filed under: Leptinotarsa decemlineata (Colorado potato beetle)
Lineage: Eukaryota; Metazoa; Arthropoda; Insecta; Coleoptera; Chrysomelidae
Description: uncharacterized LOC111504617, transcript variant X1
Source: RNAcentral
UUUGACGGUUAGUCUUGUUCCGAUGCCGUUCUUUUUAGGUUGCGCUCUGCAUUUGAUGUAGUUCGGGCAUAUUUUUAUUUUAUGAAAGUGCAGUGAUGAGUGAUGUGCUCGUGAAUAUAAUUGAUGUGUUGAGCAGAAUUGUCUUAUUGUUUUGGGGCGGUAUAAAUCGAAAUGAAACGGAUUUAAUUAGAGACUUAGUGUUGGAUUUUCUCAAGAUUCGAAGGAGACUAAUGAAUGCUUCAUUGAGUAGAAGUUGGAGACGUAAUCUUGAAAGUAAACGAAACGGAAGUAAUAAGGUUUAGUACAAAAGAAGUUUUAAAAUGUCUCCGGCUGUCUACAGAUCCUGUUACUCUAAAAAUUAAACGAGAUCCGAAAAUAAAAGCGACUGUUCGCAAACACCUCCUCACUGGUGGCGGAGGCGAUAUCAGAGACAAAACAGCCAAAACCCCCUCUCUACACUCCUCUAGUGCAGCCUCUCUGUCGGCCAGACCUGAACCUUCUAUCCACAAGACUCAUCAUCAUGCUUCACGAGCUGGUGCGGCUACUACGAAUGGAAGUUAUGUUGAACCAGAACGCGAACCUUUACUCGGAAACCAUCUUCAGGAAGUUCAAUCGCUCGAAGAGAAUGAGAGAUUGCAAUGGCAACCGUUAGCUGGUAAUGAGAAUAAAUCGAAGGGGCAACCAAAGUUUGAAGCGUACAUGAUGACCGGAGAGCAUAUUUUGAAUAUAUCACGGAUACCUCCCAUUAACACCAUCGUGCCCAAGCAACAGAAA